AACCUCCAUAUGACCCCUAAACCUCCAUAUGACCCCCAAACCUCCAUAUGACCCCUAACCUCCAUAUGACCCCUAACCCCCAUAUGACCGCUAACCUCCAUAUGACCCCUAACCUCCAUAUGACCCCUAACCUCCAUAUGACCCCUAACCUCCAUAUGACCCCUAACCUCCAUAUGACCCUGUUAUCAAUGUUAGUAGUGAUGAUUAAUCUAAAGCUGACCAGGUUUCAAGAGAAAAACUUCUGCCAACAAACUCUGGGCUUUGGCUGAGUUCAGUUCUGUUCAGUCCAGUGUGGCUUCAGUACAGCUGCCCUGUGUAGGGGGGAGGGGGACAGAGGUGUCUAGUCCCUAUGGUGGAGGGAGGAUGGAGGGCAGAGGGGACAGAGGUGUGUCUAGUCCCUACGGUGGAGGGAGGAUGGAGGGCAGAGGGGACAGAGGUGUGUCUAGUCCCUACGGUGGAGGGAGGAUGGAGGGCAGAGGGGACAGAGGUGUGUCUAGUCCCUGGAGGGGAGGAUGGAGGGCAGAGGGGACAGAGGUGUGUCUAGUCCCUACAGUGGAGGGAGGGGGAUGGAGGGCAGAGGGAACAGAGGUGUGUCUAGUCCCUACGGUGGAGGGAGGAUGGAGGGCAGAGGGGACAGAGGUGUGUCUAGUCCCUACAGUGGAGGGAGGAUGGAGGGCAGAGGGGACAGAGGUGUGUCUAGUCCCUACGGUGGAGGGAGGAUGGAGGGCAGAGGGGACAGAGGUGUGUCUAGUCCCUACAGUGGAGGGAGGAUGGAGGGCAGAGGGGACAGAGGUGUGUCUAGUCCCUACGGUGGAGGGAGGAUGGAGGGCAGAGGGGACAGAGGUGUGUCUAGUCCCUACAGUGGAGGGAGGAUGGAGGGCAGAGGGGACAGAGGUGUGUCUAGUCCCUACGGUGGAGGGAGGAUGGAGGGCAGAGGGGACAGAGGUGUGUCUAGUCCCUACGGUGGAGGGAGGAUGGAGGGCAGAGGGAACAGAGGAGUGUCUAGUCCCUACAGUGGAAGGAGGAUGGGAUGGAGGGCAGAAGCCGGGAAGUGGUUCCUCCCCGUCAGGCUUUCCCUUCCCAGGCGUCGUCUCUCUGUUUAGCUGCCAGACGCUUCUGCUCU
Long non-coding RNA from Oncorhynchus tshawytscha (Chinook salmon), 1123 nucleotides. The record is from Ensembl. Lineage: Eukaryota; Metazoa; Chordata; Actinopteri; Salmoniformes; Salmonidae.